Molecule: non-coding RNA, 111 nt
Filed under: Desulfobacteraceae bacterium
Lineage: Bacteria; Pseudomonadati; Thermodesulfobacteriota; Desulfobacteria; Desulfobacterales; Desulfobacteraceae
Source: RNAcentral
CAACUACAUAAGCGUUAAGGUGUCCGUUCGGACUUAACAGGGAAUCCCGUGAGAAUCGGGAGCGGUCCCGCCGCUGUGACCGGGGACACCAACCAUGAAGGUGGGGAAAAC